Molecule: long non-coding RNA, 926 nt
Organism: Mustela erminea (ermine)
Lineage: Eukaryota; Metazoa; Chordata; Mammalia; Carnivora; Mustelidae
Exons: 4
Source: RefSeq, a predicted model, not a curated record
GAACAUGUUCACAUGUUGCAUCCCAGAGUCCGGAGGCUGCAGGCUGAGGAAAGCACACCCUGCAAACACUUUCCUUCCCUAGGGAUGUCAUAUCAGGGCUCCCCAACAUCUCUGAUCAUUUGGCUGGAAGUACAGAAAGCCCUCCCAUUCCCCGAGCUCUGCUCAGAAACCCUCCAGGCCACAGGUCCACGGUCUUGGGUCCUCAGAUGCCCAGAUGAUGUGCCUUCAAAAAGCGAUCUAGGUGGGGCAGCAGGACACACUGCGGAUUCCAGUAAUCACCCUCCCAGAAAGUGAGGUUACUGCUGGAUGGGCUGUCCAAAAACAGCCAAGUCAGCAUUCCAGGAAGACACCAGAGGCACAGGAGUAACUGAGGAGCAUCUGAAGGUCAGGUGGGAAAACCCGGCCACACCCUGAAGAAUUUCUGGAAGCAGUAGCCAUCUCAGGAGCAGCCAACCUGGGAGGUCAACCUUCCAGCUGCCCCAGGCGGGAUCGAGCCACAGACCAGCACCCUAGCCAGAAAAGGAAGGAGAACUGCUUCUUCAUCCCAAUAGUUUCUGAGUUACCAGUUUGUUCUUAUGACCCAGCCAGGGACCUUAAGAAGAGUUGAAGAAAACUUUCCUCUCUUGCAGCCCUGGACCAGAGGGGGGAGUGGGAUAUGUCUGAAAAAUCUUCCUGACCUUGGUUAAAACUGCCCUCUGCUGGGAAACAGCACAGGACUGUGCAGGGCUGGGGGAGCCAGGGAGAGGCAGGUGGAACAUGUAGGAAGCUACCUAACCCUCAGCCAGGGGACUUGGCCCCACUGACAGAAGGGAGGGGGGUGGGAAGAUGGGGUAGUUGGGUGACAGGUAUUAAGGAGGGCACACGCUGUGAUGAGCACUGGGUGUUACAGGCAACUAAUGAACCACUGAAUGCUAUAUUAAAAUCUA